This 468-nucleotide ribosomal RNA is filed under the name uncultured bacterium. Its description in RNAcentral is "partial 16S ribosomal RNA". It matches the Rfam family "Bacterial small subunit ribosomal RNA", at positions 28 to 507 of the family's 1533-position model. The record is from RNAcentral.
GACGAACGCUGGCGGCGUGCUUAACACAUGCAAGUCGAACGGAAAGGCCCUGCGCUUGUGGGGCGCUCGAGUGGCGCACGGGUGAGAAAAACGCGUGUAACCUGCACCUGUCUUAGGGAUAUCUUCUGGAAACUGGGGCUAUAAUCGGAUAGGAGCUCCUGCUGCGCGGUGGGGGUUGGAAAGUUUCGGCGGUGUGGGCUGGUUUCGCGGGUUAUCCGCCUCUUGGUGGGGUUGUGGCUUACCAAGGCUUCGAAUGGUAGCCGGCCUUGGAGGGGGACCGGGCACAUUGGGACUGAGGGACGGACCAGUCUCCUACGGGAGGCAGCGGUGGGGAGUAUUGCAGAAUGGGCGGAAGCCUGAGGCAGAAACGCCGCGUGCGUGAUACCGGCCUUCGGGUGGUGAACCGCUUUCUCCGGUGACAAAGCGUGAGUGACGGUAAUGGGUAAAGAAGCACCGGCUAACUACGUG